Molecule: non-coding RNA, 145 nt
Organism: Gossypium raimondii (Peruvian cotton)
Lineage: Eukaryota; Viridiplantae; Streptophyta; Magnoliopsida; Malvales; Malvaceae
Source: Rfam
UGUUAAAAAAAUCAUCUAUUUGUACUGUUAAAAAUUGGUGUGAUUGACAGAAUAACUAAACAGUUACACGUGGCAUGCCACAUAUGCCUCAUGCUAAUAUACAUGGACUAGUUUAUAACAGUAAAAAUGGAAGAAAUUUUUAACA